CCACCAUCACCACCUUGGGUUUCAACAGAACCUUGUGACCUCAAUUGCCCAUGUCCUUGCUUUUUACCUUUUUUCCCUGUUAAAUCUAUUCCACCAUCUGAUAAAAUAUGUUGCCUUGCAACACCAGCCAAUGGAACAUCAAAAAAUCAUAAACACCCUUUUGAAAUCAUAAACAUCGUUCUGAAAUAUCUUGCGUGUUAACUGUUAGAUUCUCUAGAUGGUUAGAUGCCCAAUUCUGAAAAUGACAUAAAACCUCAACUAAACGAAAAGCAUUUUGAAAAAUCGCAUAAAAUCCUCAACUAUUUGAUCGAAAAGCAUAAAUUUGAAACACAGUUCUGAAAUAAAACCAAGAAAGACAGAAAUAAAAUGCAGUUUAAGACAACAAAACCCCCAAUUAUUCAUAAUAAUCUUCACAUUUUGGGAAAAUUAAAGGAGAUCCAAGAGUUUCAUAUAUUCACAUUCUAUUCUAUACAUAAAUAAAAAAAAUUCAAAGCUUGCAACCUUACUUGGAAUGAAAGAGCUAACAGAUGUCGGAUUUGAGAGAGAAGGUCAAAUUUGAGAGAGAAAAGUUUGAGAGAGAGUUGAAUUUGAGAGAGGGAGC
Molecule: long non-coding RNA, 601 nt
Filed under: Capsicum annuum
Lineage: Eukaryota; Viridiplantae; Streptophyta; Magnoliopsida; Solanales; Solanaceae
Description: long non-coding RNA (CANN_LNC018699)
Source: RNAcentral